ACAUGCAAGUCGAGCGGAUGAGAGGAGCUUGCUCCUGGAUUCAGCGGCGGACGGGUGAGUAAUGCCUAGGAAUCUGCCUGGUAGUGGGGGACAACGUUUCGAAAGGAACGCUAAUACCGCAUACGUCCUACGGGAGAAAGCAGGGGACCUUCGGGCCUUGCGCUAUCAGAUGAGCCUAGGUCGGAUUAGCUAGUUGGUGAGGUAAUGGCUCACCAAGGCGACGAUCCGUAACUGGUCUGAGAGGAUGAUCAGUCACACUGGAACUGAGACACGGUCCAGACUCCUACGGGAGGCAGCAGUGGGGAAUAUUGGACAAUGGGCGAAAGCCUGAUCCAGCCAUGCCGCGUGUGUGAAGAAGGUCUUCGGAUUGUAAAGCACUUUAAGUUGGGAGGAAGGGUUGUAGAUUAAUACUCUGCAAUUUUGACGUUACCGACAGAAUAAGCACCGGCUAACUCUGUGCCAGCAGCCGCGGUAAUACAGAGGGUGCAAGCGUUAAUCGGAAUUACUGGGCGUAAAGCGCGCGUAGGUGGUUUGUUAAGUUGGAUGUGAAAUCCCCGGGCUCAACCUGGGAACUGCAUCCAAAACUGGCAAGCUAGAGUAUGGUAGAGGGUGGUGGAAUUUCCUGUGUAGCGGUGAAAUGCGUAGAUAUAGGAAGGAACACCAGUGGCGAAGGCGACCACCUGGACUGAUACUGACACUGAGGUGCGAAAGCGUGGGGAGCAAACAGGAUUAGAUACCCUGGUAGUCCACGCCGUAAACGAUGUCAACUAGCCGUUGGGAGCCUUGAGCUCUUAGUGGCGCAGCUAACGCAUUAAGUUGACCGCCUGGGGAGUACGGCCGCAAGGUAAAACUCAAAUGAAUUGACGG
This 867-nucleotide ribosomal RNA is filed under the name Pseudomonas sp. RNAcentral's name for it is "bacterial SSU rRNA". It matches the Rfam family "Bacterial small subunit ribosomal RNA", at positions 53 to 916 of the family's 1533-position model. The record is from RNAcentral. Lineage: Bacteria; Pseudomonadati; Pseudomonadota; Gammaproteobacteria; Pseudomonadales; Pseudomonadaceae.